CAGAGAAACUUUAGUGGGUAGCUGAAAUGAUAUGUCACCAAAAGCCAAAAACAGAACUCCUAAUCAAAAUUGGUGGAAAGAGAAUAGACUGGAUACCACCAGAGAGAUAGGCGUCUACGUGGAGACGCAACUAGCAGAUAGAUAGAUGGCUACAUUAGAUAGAUAACUACAUUAAGAGUGCAAACAGAAGGAACUCAAGAUACCAGGCCUUUAUAAAGGCACUACACUUGCAAAUUUAAAAACCAAUUAGAACAACAAAAGGGCUCAGUCAAACUCAAGGCAGCAACAACAACAACUACCCAGUAUAGUCCCACAAAGUGGGGUCUGGGAAAGGCAACAUCUUUAAAUUUUAAAAAAUAAUUUCCUAAAGAAAGUAUUCUUGAAUGAUAACUUAAGUAGUGGGGUCGAUAUCCUAAUAAUGGUAAUCCUGAAGAAAUGCUAAGACUAUGUCA
This 452-nucleotide long non-coding RNA is filed under the name Nicotiana benthamiana. Its description in RNAcentral is "long non-coding RNA (NBEN_LNC012376)". The record is from RNAcentral. Lineage: Eukaryota; Viridiplantae; Streptophyta; Magnoliopsida; Solanales; Solanaceae.